RNAcentral lists this ribosomal RNA (210 nucleotides) under uncultured Salmonella sp. RNAcentral's name for it is "partial 16S ribosomal RNA". It matches the Rfam family "Bacterial small subunit ribosomal RNA", at positions 312 to 525 of the family's 1533-position model. Lineage: Bacteria; Pseudomonadati; Pseudomonadota; Gammaproteobacteria; Enterobacterales; Enterobacteriaceae. The record is from RNAcentral.
CCGCGCGCGCGGCGGGCUACGGGAGGCAGCAGUGGGGAAUAUUGCACAAUGGGCGCAAGCCUGAUGCAGCCAUGCCGCGUGUAUGAAGAAGGCCUUCGGGUUGUAAAGUACUUUCAGCGGGGAGGAAGGUGUUGUGGUUAAUAACCGCAGCAAUUGACGUUACCCGCAGAAGAAGCACCGGCUAACUCCGUGCCAGCAGCCGCGGUAAUA